Molecule: long non-coding RNA, 477 nt
Organism: Drosophila subpulchrella
Lineage: Eukaryota; Metazoa; Arthropoda; Insecta; Diptera; Drosophilidae
Exons: 3
Source: RefSeq, a predicted model, not a curated record
GUGGCAUUUGUUCGGAUUUCAGCUCUUUCUUCUCUUUUCGGACAUCCUCAUCGGUGAAUGCAGCUCACAUAUUGCCAUUGCCCGAUGAGUUAUGGCUUAAUUGUGAUGUCAGCGUCGGUGGAUGUGGAUGAGGGUGGGGAUGCGGAUGAGGUGGCUGCCCAUCGAGCCAUACAACUUGUUUGACAGUGCCCAUCCAAUGCCGCCAAGUUCUGCAAAUUGGAGUUCCUGUGCAGCGUCUCACCACCGCCGAUGCCGAUAUACCCUUCAUGUUCCACUGGAUAAGCAGCCAGCGGGAAUCCACCACUUAGAAAAAAUAUUAAACCCAACUUUUUCAUGGUAAUAUUGGAAACUUAUGUGAGAAAUACCAAGAAAGCGUUCUUUUUAUAAUCGCCACAUAUAUAUUAAAAUAUAAACUAGCCUAGGAAAAGAUAUACAAAAAUUUAUGUUUUUUAAAUCACAAUAAUAGUUUGAACAAUA